UGCUUUUGGCGUUUGUGGUGGUGUUUACCUGUCAAUGUGGUAAGAAGCAAAAAUUUGUAAGUCAUCACUGAGGCUUUUCUGCUUUUUUUAUUGUAAUGAGGAUGAGGAGGUAAGUGCUUGCUGUGCCCUGUGCAUGCCCAGUAAUAAGGAACUAAAAAUACUAACAGCCUAAAAGCUUUCUUUCAAUUGGGAAAUAUAUUUAUAUAUACGAUUGGCUAACCUAACAAUUCUCUCACUUGUCAGAUGUGUUUAUUGAGGCCGUUAAUGCAUUAAUAGCACUUCUGCACUGGCAUGGAGUUCACUGUGCUUACUGAACCUGAUUUAUGCAGGAAAUUCAAUCUUGGUUGCCAGGGAUUUUUCCAAAGCUGUCAUCCAUUCAUAGGACAAGCAAUGUAAUUUUUUUAGUACCAUUUCUGGAAGCUUUGAGCCACCAGAGGGGCACAGCCAUGCUGCUGCUGAACGCAGGCCCAUGGGAUGGUGGACGUUGGAGUUGCUCUGCAGCUACCAACAGAAAACCACUGUUAUUUACAGCAUUUUCAGCAGUUCUUGAAACUUCUUGACAGAUGUCGUAUGCCUCCUACUGUUUAUGCUGUGCAGUUACAUGUACUCAGUCUUUUAGUUGUAGGUGUGUGGGUAUGCAUGCACAGAGCUAUACAUGAAGCUGCAUGGCUGAACUACAAGCCCUGCACAGGCACUGGAGCGCCGAGAGAUGUCGAGUGCCACAGGUGGCUCUGAGGGAGCGCUGUGGCUCUUCUCCCCACGUACCCUUCCCCUGACCCAGCUCACCUGCCCGCAUGGCAGCAGUGCUCCGGCUUGGUGCUGGUGAUGGCUUUGCCCCUGGGGGCUGCGGGCAGCCCCUGGCCCCCCGCCGCCUGCCCUUGCUGCCCUCUCGUCCGAUGGUUGCUGCAGGAGCCCCAGCGUGGCCCCGUGCCACUGCCCCCGAGCCUGCUGGGGAGGGAAAGAGGAGGGAGAGUCAGUGACCAUGGCAUUCCCCCUUCUCCGUGACACCCUCCACCUCCCCUCAGCACUUUCCCCAACAUCCCCCUGAGGUUUUACCCCCGUCUCCCUUCCCUCCUCUCAUGCCUUCCCUCUCCAUUUCCCCUCAGGUAUUACCGCUCCAUCUCCCCUUCCCUCAGUGGCUCCCUCCUCUCAGUGCUCUCCCUCUCCCUUUCCCCUCAGCACCUUCCCUUUCUCCUCACCUGCCGCCUCCUCUCCUCCUCUGGGCACCUUCCCCUCCAUCUCACUGGGCCCUUCCCCUUCCCCUCCGCUGCCUCAGCGAGGUCUCCAGGGCAGCCAUGGCGCGGGGGCCAGCCCGGGCCUGCCCGCUUGGCCAGGGCCCAGCGCUGGCUGCGAUCACUGCGUCCCCCUGUGCCUGGCUGUGGCAGAAAGCCCAGGCUUCCCUGAGGUACCGCAGCCUUCGCCAUGAAGUCCUGAAGGGAAAUUGCCCCUUCAACCUCUCUGCCUAGCCCACCAAGCAGGGCGAUGGCGGUGCUCCUUGGAUGGCUGCUGAGGGGAACAGAGCUCGGCUCGGCACAACACGCGGCUCUCCUGCCACUCUGCGAGCCUGUUGUGAGGUGAGCUGAGUUGUUAACAGCCUCGCUGGGGAGAUGAGAGCACUUAAUUGGGAGGUGAGCCCGGAUGAAAAGCACUGGCGGGCUCUUUUGCAGCAGUCACUGAAGUAAUGCACCGCCUUCUUUGUCCUCCUGCCCCUGGGUAUAAUGGGAGGUUUAGUUCUGGUUUUGUUGCCUUCCCCCCUUUCCUCUCUGCCUCUUCCCUUCUCUCCUUCUGAUCUAUUUAGAUGUGAAAUUUGGCAGAUGCUUGCAGCUGCAUUCAGACAGGUUGUGAUGAAAUCGGCCUCCCAGGAGGCUGCUCCCAUGGCGGCUCCGCGGGCUGCAGGCAGCACUUCUCCGACUGCAGCUAAUGGUCUGAUUUCAAAGUGUCAACAGCAGGGAUUUUGCAGUGAUGGUUAUUACUAAUGCUGUACAGCAGCCAGCAGGUCUCCAGAGCGUGCGUGCGGAUGAAAGGGAUGGUGACACGGGGCAGAAAGGCGAGGCAAACAGGAACGGCAGUGAUGGGAUGUAAAUAAUUCAUCCGGGCUGAAAACCAAAUUAGAGCCCAGUGGUCAUGGCUGGCAUGGUCCACACAGAAGAAGACUCAUCUGAUAUCAGGCAUGUCGGGCAGGCAGGACCAUCAGCAGCGUUCCCUGCUUAAUCUGCCCCUGCUGAGGCUGGCUGAGAGGCAGAGGGGUGGCGAGGUGCUCUCCAGCAGCAGCUCUCAAGGCCCAGCUUUGCGGUCGGACUCUGAAGCAUCCGUGGUUCUGCGGGGAUCUCGACAAGCUGAUUUGACAGCAGAAUGGAUACAGGCUCUGCGAUGUGUGUCGUUUCCUGUGCCUAUUGUUCUUGCCAGUACGGCUUGCUAAAUAAGUAAUUAGCAUUUGUGAGAGUCUUCAGAAUGUGAGGUGAGACAAGUUUUACAGUGAUGAACUAUGAGGGAGUGGGCUUGAAGCAGCUGUGGAGAGCAGGAGAGCCAUGCAGGUCCCUGCGUGCUAAGGUGAGAGGAGCCGCCCGGCUCACCCCAUCCUGCCCUGUGUCCGUGCCAUCCUUCGAAGGGACCCAGCUUCUGAUGACACGGGGAGACCUCUCGCAGCAGUCCUGGCAGGGAGGGAAAAUGGAAACAACAUCACUUUAACUCCCAGAGCCUAGGAAAGGGCCUGUCUUGUCUGUUAUGGUGUGAUCCCCCUCCAAGACAUGGCAAGGAGCAGACCCCCAGCCAUCACAGCAGUUCCUUACAAGCAUCUCUGCCUGCUCUGGGGACACCUAUUGCUCCACAGCCCCCCGGGCACUUCAGGGUUGCACAGAGCCACUCGAGCAGUGGGUCCCAAACCCCCGUCCUCCUGCCCUGACAGUGCUGUGGCUUCCAGAUGGAGCAACUGCAUGGUCCUCAUGGCUGCAUUUCCCCGUCACAGGGAAGACUGGAGGUGUUUAGAUUGUUUCCCCAGUUGUAAAUUUGGGAGCACCCGGCUUGAGUGAGCCCGCUGCAGGCAGCACAGCAUUCAGUGGUGAUUGGGGUUUUUCCCUGCACUAACCCUCAGCAGCAGCCUUGCACCUUCCUCCCAAAGCCACAUUUUGCUGCUGGUCCCAGGCCACCUUCUGUAGCCUGUUGUUAGGGUCAUGUGUGCAGAUUUUGGCCCACAGUUCUUAAAUUUGCUGAGUUUUGUUCAUUAUUAUUAUUAUUAUUAUUGUUAUUAUUAUUUAAUAUUAGUUGUUUGUUGGGUUUGCUGUUUUUUGGGGGGUUUGUUUUGCUUUUUGUUUUAUUUUCUUUUUGUUGUG
This is a non-coding RNA of Anas platyrhynchos (mallard), 3329 nucleotides long. The record is from RefSeq and is a predicted model, not a curated record. Lineage: Eukaryota; Metazoa; Chordata; Aves; Anseriformes; Anatidae.